This 418-nucleotide ribosomal RNA is filed under the name uncultured microorganism. Its description in RNAcentral is "bacterial SSU rRNA". It matches the Rfam family "Bacterial small subunit ribosomal RNA", at positions 9 to 430 of the family's 1533-position model. The record is from RNAcentral.
GAGUUUGAUCAUGGCUCAGAUUGAACGCUGGCGGCAUGCCUUACACAUGCAAGUCGAACGGCAGCAUGAUCUAGCUUGCUAGAUUGAUGGCGAGUGGCGAACGGGUGAGUAAUACAUCGGAACAUGCCCUGUAGUGGGGGAUAACUAGUCGAAAGAUUAGCUAAUACCGCAUACGACCUGAGGGUGAAAGUGGGGACCGCAAGGCCUCAUGCUAUAGGAGCGGCCGAUGUCUGAUUAGCUAGUUGGUGGGGUAAAGGCCCACCAAGGCGACGAUCAGUAGCUGGUCUGAGAGGACGAUCAGCCACACUGGGACUGAGACACAGCCCAGACUCCUACGGGAGGCAGCAGUGGGAAUUUGGACAAUGGGCGAAAGCCUGAUCCAGCAAUGCCGCGUGUGUGAGAAGGCCUCGGUGUAAGU